RNAcentral lists this ribosomal RNA (1832 nucleotides) under Salmonella enterica. RNAcentral's name for it is "partial 23S ribosomal RNA". It matches the Rfam family "Bacterial large subunit ribosomal RNA", at positions 1154 to 2925 of the family's 2925-position model. Lineage: Bacteria; Pseudomonadati; Pseudomonadota; Gammaproteobacteria; Enterobacterales; Enterobacteriaceae. The record is from RNAcentral.
CGUAUCACCCAAGACAACUUUACGGAGUUGACGAUUGACGGAGCGAAGCGACGUCAAAGCGUUCAUUAAAGUCGAGUUGGCUUAGGGAUACGUUCGUUGGGUAGGGGAGCGUUCUGUAAGCCUGUGAAGGUGUGUCGUGAGGCAUGCUGGAGGUAUCAGAAGUGCGAAUGCUGACAUAAGUAACGAUAAAGCGGGUGAAAAGCCCGCUCGCCGGAAGACCAAGGGUUCCUGUCCAACGUUAAUCGGGGCAGGGUGAGUCGACCCCUAAGGCGAGGCCGAAAGGCGUAGUCGAUGGGAAACGGGUUAAUAUUCCCGUACUUGGUGUUACUGCGAAGGGGGGACGGAGAAGGCUAUGUUGGCCGGGCGACGGUUGUCCCGGUUUAAGCGUGUAGGUGUGUGUUCCAGGUAAAUCCGGUUCACUUUAACACUGAGGCGUGACGACGAGGCACUACGGUGCUGAAGCAACAAAUGCCCUGCUUCCAGGAAAAGCCUCUAAGCAUCAGGUAACACGAAAUCGUACCCCAAACCGACACAGGUGGUCAGGUAGAGAAUACCAAGGCGCUUGAGAGAACUCGGGUGAAGGAACUAGGCAAAAUGGUGCCGUAACUUCGGGAGAAGGCACGCUGACACGUAGGUGAAGUGAUUUACUCAUGGAGCUGAAGUCAGUCGAAGAUACCAGCUGGCUGCAACUGUUUAUUAAAAACACAGCACUGUGCAAACACGAAAGUGGACGUAUACGGUGUGACGCCUGCCCGGUGCCGGAAGGUUAAUUGAUGGGGUCAGCGUAAGCGAAGCUCCUGAUCGAAGCCCCGGUAAACGGCGGCCGUAACUAUAACGGUCCUAAGGUAGCGAAAUUCCUUGUCGGGUAAGUUCCGACCUGCACGAAUGGCGUAAUGAUGGCCAGGCUGUCUCCACCCGAGACUCAGUGAAAUUGAACUCGCUGUGAAGAUGCAGUGUACCCGCGGCAAGACGGAAAGACCCCGUGAACCUUUACUAUAGCUUGACACUGAACAUUGAGCCUUGAUGUGUAGGAUAGGUGGGAGGCUUUGAAGUGUGGACGCCAGUCUGCAUGGAGCCGACCUUGAAAUACCACCCUUUAAUGUUUGAUGUUCUAACGUGGACCCGUAAUCCGGGUUGCGGACAGUGUCUGGUGGGUAGUUUGACUGGGGCGGUCUCCUCCUAAAGAGUAACGGAGGAGCACGAAGGUUGGCUAAUCCUGGUCGGACAUCAGGAGGUUAGUGCAAUGGCAUAAGCCAGCUUGACUGCGAGCGUGACGGCGCGAGCAGGUGCGAAAGCAGGUCAUAGUGAUCCGGUGGUUCUGAAUGGAAGGGCCAUCGCUCAACGGAUAAAAGGUACUCCGGGGAUAACAGGCUGAUACCGCCCAAGAGUUCAUAUCGACGGCGGUGUUUGGCACCUCGAUGUCGGCUCAUCACAUCCUGGGGCUGAAGUAGGUCCCAAGGGUAUGGCUGUUCGCCAUUUAAAGUGGUACGCGAGCUGGGUUUAGAACGUCGUGAGACAGUUCGGUCCCUAUCUGCCGUGGGCGCUGGAGAACUGAGGGGGGCUGCUCCUAGUACGAGAGGACCGGAGUGGACGCAUCACUGGUGUUCGGGUUGUCAUGCCAAUGGCACUGCCCGGUAGCUAAAUGCGGAAGAGAUAAGUGCUGAAAGCAUCUAAGCACGAAACUUGCCCCGAGAUGAGUUCUCCCUGAGACUUAGAGUCUCCUGAAGGAACGUUGAAGACGACGACGUUGAUAGGCCGGGUGUGUAAGCGCAGCGAUGCGUUGAGCUAACCGGUACUAAUGAACCGUGAGGCUUAACCUUACAACGCCGAAG